This 646-nucleotide ribosomal RNA is filed under the name Salmonella enterica. RNAcentral describes it as "partial 23S ribosomal RNA". It matches the Rfam family "Bacterial large subunit ribosomal RNA", at positions 1 to 688 of the family's 2925-position model. Lineage: Bacteria; Pseudomonadati; Pseudomonadota; Gammaproteobacteria; Enterobacterales; Enterobacteriaceae. The record is from RNAcentral.
GUUAAGCGACUAAGCGUACACGGUGGAUGCCCUGGCAGUCAGAGGCGAUGAAGGGCGUGCUAAUCUGCGAUAAGCGCCGGUAAGGUGAUAUGAACCGUUAUAACCGGCGAUACCCGAAUGGGGAAACCCAGUGUGACUCGUCACACUAUCAUUAACUGAAUCCAUAGGUUAAUGAGGCGAACCGGGGGAACUGAAACAUCUAAGUACCCCGAGGAAAAGAAAUCAACCGAGAUUCCCCCAGUAGCGGCGAGCGAACGGGGAGGAGCCCAGAGCCUGAAUCAGCAUGUGUGUUAGUGGAAGCGUCUGGAAAGGCGCGCGAUACAGGGUGACAGCCCCGUACACAAAAGCGCAUGUGCUGUGAGCUCGAUGAGUAGGGCGGGACACGUGGUAUCCUGUCUGAAUAUGGGGGGACCAUCCUCCAAGGCUAAAUACUCCUGACUGACCGAUAGUGAACCAGUACCGUGAGGGAAAGGCGAAAAGAACCCCGGCGAGGGGAGUGAAAAAGAACCUGAAACCGUGUACGUACAAGCAGUGGGAGCACAGGUUUACCUGUGUGACUGCGUACCUUUUGUAUAAUGGGUCAGCGACUUAUAUUCUGUAGCAAGGUUAACCGAAUAGGGGAGCCGGAGGGAAACCGAGUCUUAAU